UUUUUAAACCAUUUGCAACUAAUUCGCGGAUUGUUACGCGCGCUGCGAAUGCUUUUUAUUUCAGUCGCUAAGUAUUCUUCAGAUGUGAGAGAUCACGUUUGACCCGUUUGUCAGCAUCUCGCCUAUAUCAGUUUAUUGCAUUGACCAUUUUAAAGAAUUCCACGAGAAAUAAUAUGAUUUAAUUCCUUAUUUCUGUUU
Molecule: long non-coding RNA, 198 nt
Organism: Bombus impatiens (common eastern bumble bee)
Lineage: Eukaryota; Metazoa; Arthropoda; Insecta; Hymenoptera; Apidae
Exons: 4
Source: RefSeq, a predicted model, not a curated record